RNAcentral lists this small RNA (5039 nucleotides) under Pan troglodytes (chimpanzee). RNAcentral describes it as "retained intron". Lineage: Eukaryota; Metazoa; Chordata; Mammalia; Primates; Hominidae. The record is from RNAcentral.
AGCGGCAGCGGCGGCUGGGAGAGCGGUCGGCGGGGUUUCUUCGUUGCAUUGCCUGAGAGGAGCGGAGUCUGCCAGGUGGUGUCCAUCAUGUUCUCUUUCAACAUGUUCGACCACCCUAUUCCCAGGGUCUUCCAAAACCGCUUCUCCACACAGUACCGCUGCUUCUCUGUGUCCAUGCUAGCAGGGCCUAAUGACAGUAAUUAUGCCGCCCUCAGCCCUGGACCAACUCAGCCGACUUAACAUUACCUAUCCCAUGCUGUUCAAACUGACCAAUAAGAAUUCGGACCGCAUGACGCAUUGUGGCGUGCUGGAGUUUGUGGCUGAUGAGGGCAUCUGCUACCUCCCACACUGGAUGAUGCAGAACUUACUCUUGGAAGAAGGCGGCCUGGUCCAGGUGGAGAGCGUCAACCUUCAAGUGGCCACCUACUCCAAAUUCCAACCUCAGAGCCCUGACUUCCUGGACAUCACCAACCCCAAAGCCGUAUUAGAAAACGCACUUAGGAACUUUGCCUGUCUGACCACCGGGGAUGUGAUUGCCAUCAACUAUAAUGAAAAGAUCUACGAACUGCGUGUGAUGGAGACCAAACCCGACAAGGCAGUGUCCAUCAUUGAGUGUGACAUGAACGUGGACUUUGAUGCUCCCCUGGGCUACAAAGAACCCGAAAGACAAGUCCAGCAUGAGGAGUCGACAGAAGGUGAAGCCGACCACAGUGGCUAUGCUGGAGAGCUGGGCUUCCGCGCUUUCUCUGGAUCUGGCAAUAGACUGGAUGGAAAGAAGAAAGGGGUAGAGCCCAGCCCCUCCCCAAUCAAGCCUGGAGAUAUUAAAAGAGGAAUUCCCAAUUAUGAAUUUAAACUUGGUAAGAUAACUUUCAUCAGAAAUUCACGUCCCCUUGUCAAAAAGGUUGAAGAGGUGAGUGUAUUUCCUUGUAUUUCCUUGGUUGGUAAUGAGGAGAUUUAUUUGCUAGUGAUGACUGAAGUUCUUGGCAUUCUGAGUAGGGGUGUGCAUUAGUCUGUUUCCAAGCUGCUGGUAAAGAUGUACCCGAGACUGGGCAAUUUACAAAAGAAAGAGGUUUAAUGGACUUACAGUUCACAUGGCUGGGGAGGCCUCACAAUCAUGGCAGGGGGCAAGUCACAUCUUACAUGGAUGGUAGCAGGCAGAGAAAAAGCUGGUGCAGGGAAACACCUACUUAUAAAACCAUCAGAUCUCAUGAGACUUAUCACUGUCACGAUAACAGCACGGAAAAGACCCGCCCUCAUGACUCAGUUACCUCCCACUGACUCAGUUACCUCCCACCUGGUCCCUCCCACAACACGUGGUAAUUCACGAUGAGAUUUGAGUGGGGACGCAGCCAAACCACAUGAGGGUGUCUGUCAUGUUUUCCCUUUCCUAGGGUCCCUCUGCUCCCUGGUGUCCUGUUUUUUUCUGUAGAGCUGGUGUGGGGUGUAUGAAACAGAAGACUUGCAGCAUGGGGGUCAGGAGCUCUGUCUUGCUCUAGAGCCGACUCCAGGCUCUGUUAUCACAGAACUGUGUGCCCUGGGUGGGCUUCGUCUUCCAACAGAGACCUUGAACUUCAAAUAUAGGCAGCACCUUCUAGCUGAGCAGGGUGGUGGUGGGACAGAGGAAGGCAAGGGCUGAGCAUCCUGUAGACAUGGGCACUUUGUGGGAGUGUGGCCAGGCCUGGCAGCAACUGGAACACAGUCACCUCUGUGUGAUGAGGAUUUCUACAACACCAGCGCUUCAGACCCAUCGCUCUCCUGGUUUCUUUUCUCAAAGGAUUGGACCCUUGAGGAUCCAGGAUUAGGGCGGAGGGCAGAUGUACUGAGCCACCCAUUCAGGACCAGCUGCUACAUGGGAGCCAUCCCAAUUACUGAACUCUUUUCUCUAGCACUUGGGGUGGUUGGGGACAGAGACCACUGUGAAGUUUGCACACCUGGUCCUACUCACAACCACUUCUGGGCUCAAUGUUCAAGUUGAAACAGCAUUGGGCAUUGGGACCUUUCAGGCUCAGAGGAGCAAACAUAGUGGCCAGUCAGACCUCACCCUCCAGCUCCUCCUUCAGGCACCAUCCAGGCUUCACCAGCUACAGGCUGCCUUUCUCACUAAAAGCCAGUGCCUGACUCCGACCUAAGACCUUAGCAUGGGACGUCCCCCAGGCUGACUGUGACCUGACUGUUGCAAAUUUACAGAAGGCAGGGGAGGCCAGUGGGCACAGCAGGCCUGUUUGACCAUAAAUACGUAUUUAAGAAGUAUAUGUUUAGAUGGGAUUGAAGACAUAUUUAGCUCUACUCCAUCCUGCAGCCCCACUAAGGCUGUAGCUAAAGGUCAUGAGGUAAGAAAGACAGUGGAAGAGGAGGCAACUACAAGGCUUUGGAAGCCCCAGGUACCUUAGUAGAGCAUAGAAAGCCUAGAAGCAGUUCUGUGUAGAUUGUGGAAUUCUCAAAAGGCACCUCUAGAAAUGAGGGACUAAAGACAGAAUUCUGUUACUAAGCAGUUAGAGCUGCAUUACCCUCCCUCCCCCAUCCCAGAAGGCUGGAGGCUCGACUCCAGUAGGUCUCUAGACUACUAUCUCUGAAGUGAAGGCCACAGUCAGAAAGCUUUCCAUUCCAGCAUCUAAAUAAUAGAGGAUUUGUGGGAAGAACAGCCACAGAAACCAAAGGAGCAGAAAUCAUCAGGGAAAUAGUUUCCCCAAAGAUGGGCACAAUUUUGCAGAUUUGAAGGGCUCACUGAGUUCCAGCAAAAUGAAUGAAAAUAGCCCCACUUUGAGGCAAAGAAAGAUCCUAAAGCUUCUAGAGAGAGAACAGAGGUAUCACCAUGCAUUAAGGACAUCAUCAGCCAAGCGCCAUGGCUCACACCUGUAAUCCCAACACUUUGGGAGGCUGAUGCGGGAAGAUCAUCUGAGCCCAGGAGUUUGAGACCAGCCUGGGCAAUAUAGGGAGACCCUGUCUCUACAGAAAAUUUUAAAAAUUAGCCAAGCAUGGUGGCACGCACCUGUAGUCCCAGCUACUUUAAUGCUGAGUUGGGAGCAUCACUUGAGCCUUGGGAGGUGGAGGCUGCUGUGAGCUGAGAUCACACCACUGCACUCCAGCCUGGGUAACAGUAAGUCCCUGUCUCCCAAAAAAAGGGACAUCAUCUUAGCAGGACACAGAGGAAACUAGAAGAUAGUGGAGCAAUAUACUCAAAAUUCUGAGGGGAAAUUUUUUCCAACCUAAAAUUCUGUACCAACUCUUAUGAGCUGGAUUGUGUCCCUCCAGUGUUUCUGUGUUGAAGCCCUAACCCCCAGUAACUCAGAUAGGGCCAUUUAAAGAAGCAAUUAAGUUAAAAUAAGACCAUUAGAGUUGGCCGUAAUUCAAUCUGGUGUCCUUUUAAGAAGAGGAAAUUUGGACAUAGGAAGGGCCAUGUGAGGACACAGCAAGAAGGCAGCCAUCUGCAAGCCAAGGAAAAGGGUGUCAGAGGAAACCAAACCUGCUGACACCUUGAUCCUGCACUUCUAGCCUCCAAAACUAUGAAGAAUAAAUUUCUGUUGUUUGAGCCACCCUAUCUUUGGCAUUUUAUAUGGCAGCCCUAGCAGACUAACAUACCAACCAGCCUAUCAAUGAAAUAUGAGAGUAGAAAAAAGGAACUCACAGGAAGAUAAUCCUCAUGCAUCUUUUCUCAGGAAGCUCCUAGGAGGUGUCCCUCACUAAAAUGAAGGAAUAAGGUAGAAAUAAGAAAGUCAUAGAAUCCAGGAAAUAAGGAGCCCCCACUAACAUGUACGGCACCUAGAGAAAGGCCAGUCCAGGUACGGCAGGGUGAAGGCCCAGGAGACACAGGUUUGUCAAAACAGAUGAACUCCAUGCAAUGCAGGCUGUGAUUGAAUAGAGGAAGAAGCCAAACACAGCUAUUGACACCAGGCUAAAUGGAAGGCUGUGCGGCAAAGGAAGACUAAAUGCAGCUGUGACUCAAAUUUACAUGAAUGUGACCACAUAAAUACUAAACAGUGCUCUAUUGCAGGUAUAACAUGCUACAGUUAGUGGGGAGCCAGGUGCAGGGAUGUGUGUUGAACAUUCCAGAAUCCUCUUCUUCCUAGGGAAAAGUUGAGAUAAUGCCUCAGACUGACUAGCAAUAAAAGCAUGUGAAAAAAAAUAUGUGCAGUUUUCAAAGGCUUGGGAAAAAACAAUCCCUCUUUCUGCUGAUGGAAGGAUAGCUUAGUGGAAUGUUUCUGAGGGCUGGUUGGUCUCUAUAUGUUAAAAGCAUUAAAAGUGUGUACACACUUUGACCCAGGAAUUUGAGCUCUAAAAAAUCAGAGUUGUGUGCAAAUACAUUAAGCUGCUUACCACAGCAAUGUCCACUGGUAGAAAACUGGCCCUCCUACAUGAUGGAAUUCUUUUUUACAGAAUUCAGUUCUGUAGCCUUGGGAGUAUACUAGACAGGAAGUUUAUUGGCAUGAGAUUUCAGAAUUAAGUGGGAAAACAAUUCUUUAAGCAUGUACAGAAAAGUGACCUGAAAUGUUUUUGGGUGAUGAACUUACAGAUUUUUUUUUUUUUUUUUUUUUUUUUUUUGAGGCAGGGUCUUGCCCUGUUGCUCUGCCAUCCAGGCUGGAGCAGUGGCACAGUCAUAGCUCACUAUGGCCCUGGCUCAAACCAUCCUCCCGUCUCAGCCUCCCAAGUAGCUGGGACCAUAGGCACAUACCACACCGAGCUAUUUUUGGUAGAGAUGGGAUCUCACUGUGUUGCCCAGGCUGGUCUUGAACUCCUGGGCUCAAGUGAUCCUCCCACCUAGGCCUCCCAAAGUGCUGGGAUUACAGGUGUCAGCUAUCGUGUCCAGCCUGAGAUAUUUCUUAUGAGUAAUGUGGAUGGUACGUGAGUCCAUAGAGUAAGGCACUUAUUGUAAACCUCCAGGGACUUUCUGAAAAUAGUAUCUUCUCUUCAAACCUAGGAUGAAGCUGGAGGCAGAUUCGUCGCUUUCUCUGGAGAAGGACAAUCGUUGCGUAAAAAGGGAAGAAAGCCCUAAGUGAGGACUGUUGGCUGAUUGGAAAAUAAUAAAAGAAUCAUUUGCAACA